RNAcentral lists this unclassified non-coding RNA (233 nucleotides) under plant metagenome. RNAcentral's name for it is "partial contains small subunit ribosomal RNA, internal transcribed spacer 1, and 5.8S ribosomal RNA". The record is from RNAcentral.
UUUCCGUAGGUGAACCUGCGGAAGGAUCAUUACUGAGUGAGGGCCCUCUGGGUCCAACCUCCCACCCGUGUUUAUUAUACCUUGUUGCUUCGGUAAGCCCGCCUCACGGCCGCCGGGGGGCAUCUGCCCCCGGGCCCGCGCCCACCGAAGACACCUAGAACUCUGUAUGAAGAUUGCAGUCUGAGCAAAAACUAAAUAAGUUAAAACUUUCAACAACGGAUCUCUUGGUUCCG